RNAcentral lists this long non-coding RNA (1805 nucleotides) under Coffea arabica (coffee). RNAcentral's name for it is "long non-coding RNA (CARA_LNC004486)". The record is from RNAcentral. Lineage: Eukaryota; Viridiplantae; Streptophyta; Magnoliopsida; Gentianales; Rubiaceae.
UUGACCCUUAAGACUCUGGCUAAUUCGUAAAAUAGACAGCAUACAAUUUGGCUAUUUACAGGAUGUGUGGCUUAUUAUGCAUAAAAAUAUAUGCUAGGUAUCUUGUAAAGUUACCAGUACAUUGUCUGGUAGACAAUCAACUGAGUUCUGAUCACAAGAUAUAGAGCUAAAUCUUAAGAUCUAUUUCAGAUUUUCAUGCUGGGGUCUUUGUCUAGCUGCGGACGUCCUCGCGUGCCACUUAUAACCUUAGUGAAGGGGGGAUUGGCCAUUCAUCCGUUGCAAAAUAUAUUCAGAAAUCAGAGCAUAAUUUUUUUUUUUUAAAUCAGAAUAUAAUUGAUCCUUAUGAUGAUUGCAAAGAGCACCUGAGGCUUUAAAGAGUUAUCCACUUGCGUUAUAUUUUUCAUGUGCCCUGUUUCCUCUGCAAAAAAGAAACGUCAUUCGCCCUAGAUUAAGAUAGAAUAGGUUAUACAAAUGUUUCGUUGCUGACAAAAAAAAGACUUGAUUGUCCAUUUGAAGGUGCAUUUUCUUGAUAAUUAUGCCAUUUACGUGUCACGCGUAUCCAAGAAGUGUCUGACUUGAGUUCCUAAAUUUUGAAACUUGUCGGUCUAAGUCUUGCUUUAAAGGUUUGGUUAGCUCCGCUGCUUAUAUGAUCAAAAGGAAAGUAGUUUCAAGAGGAGUUUGUUGGGCUUGGCCCUCGGCCUUUAUGGGUUUUGUCAUUGCCAAUUGGUCAGGAAAUGGUAGUAAUGGGCCAACCCAUGAAGUAUGUGAAAACAUAGAAGCAAAGGAAAUGUUUGUGUCAGUUGACAUGAUCAGUCAACAUGUGCUCCGAAAUGCUGCCAUAUAACCCUAUCAAGGUCUUUGUGUGGCUGGGGAUGGGGUUAUAUGAACUCUUCUUAGAAGAGAAUUGAAUGCUUCUUGCAGAGGCUCCGUCCUGGGCCGAGACACGUGGCAGCCCAGGAAGGUCAGAGUUAGGUUCGGACCUCAGGCCCAUGGCCACCAUCUUGAGGCACACCGCACUAGGGCUCCGAAAGGUUCCAGAGAACAAUCCCGCAGAGGGCGGGAAAGAUCCCCCUCGACGCGGGAUUGAGACUAUUUUGGGCAGGUCCCGAAACGUACAGAGGUCGGACUUAUCAGCAGGUAUAAAUGGUAACGCACAUCCACUGUACAAGGUACGCUCACUACUGGCAAAUUACCCCCGACUGUUUUAUUCCUUGUGAAUUCCACUCACCGGAAGACUAACUUGACCGUCGGAGUGCCCCCGAGGACAACCUCGGGGCUCCCCUGCUAGUCAUCCUAUAGAUCUCUUCUCGUUUAUUUUGCAGGGCUUGGACACGUUCUUAUCAUCGGUACGCCGAACUCAUCACGUCAGCUCGGUCCGGGGAAGGUCAGCGCUUCUUCACUUCUCAAAAAGAAAAGAAAAGAAAAAAAAAUUGUGUACCUGACAGCCGACAGGUAUCCGUCAUCCACAAAUUGUGCGAAGAUAGGAAUUUUGCAUUAUCAAUCAAACGAUUGCAUGGAUCGGUUGAAGGAACGGAACCUUUUUCCUCAGCAUCAAUCACGCCACUCUGCCAGCAUAAUAGUGAGUAAUAAGAUUGCAAGACCCAUUUCUAGGCAACGCCUUUAUCAAUAUGCUGUCCCGACCUUUCCUUCCGCUGAACUGCGACGGUAUCUUUGGCGUCGUCCACGUCUGGAGCUUUGACCCUCAGGCUCAGGACAGGAGAGAUCCCAUACCUCGACCUUCAACCUUUUGCGGGACGAGGUGGUCAACGCAUCGUACAGGGGCGUAGAUGAAAGCUUGACUAGCU